UACGUAGGCAGCGAGCGUUGUUCGGAGUUACUGGGCGUAAAGGGUGCGUAGGUGGCCUGGCAAGUUAUUAGUGGUAAAUCGAGGCUCAACCUCGUGGAAACUAGUAAUACUGUUCGGCUUGAGUGCAGGAGAGGUUAACGGAACUCUAUGUGGAGGGGUAAAAUCCAUAGAUAUAUGGAUGAACAUCAAUAACGGCGAAGGCAGUUAACUAUUCUGUUACUGACACUGAGGCACGAAAGCGUGGGGAGCAAAACGG
RNAcentral lists this ribosomal RNA (256 nucleotides) under uncultured bacterium. Its description in RNAcentral is "partial 16S ribosomal RNA". It matches the Rfam family "Bacterial small subunit ribosomal RNA", at positions 524 to 776 of the family's 1533-position model. The record is from RNAcentral.